AUUGAAAAUGUAUAUUACACUUUAUUUGAAUAUAGUAUCAAAACUUAUAUAACACAGAGAUUUGAUAAUUUUUUAAUUGAUGAAUACUUUUUUUGUGCUAAUUUUUAUGUGAUUAAGAUUUAAUUGAUUUCGUAUAUAAAAUAUUAAAUUGACUUAUUUGUUUAUAAUUUGGUAACAGAUAGAUAUUUGAAUAUUCAAUAUAUUUUGCUUCAGUUUAAAAAAUCUUUGAUGAUCCGUCUUUAGAUCCAAUAAGCCCUAUAAUCUAGAUAUUAACCUGCAGUAUAUAUUUUAGUUAAACUAAAAUUUUUUUAUUGUAAAGAUGAUUUAAAAAUAUUUGAUAUUAUUUUAUUUGAUUUUAAAUAUAUAGUAAACUGUGAGUUGUAUAUGUUUUGUUGAUAUUAUCUAUAUUGUUUAGUGUUUAAGAUUAUACACUUGUAGUUUGUUUGUUAAUUUAAGAGUUUCACCUGUAGUAUACCAUUUUGUAUCAAUAUCGAUCUAAACAUGCAAUUCUAGGAUUUUCAACUUGUAUCAAAAAUUGAAUCACAUCUAAUAUGUUAUUAAUUAUUGUAGUAUAUAAGAUUAUAAAUUUUCAAUAUAAUAUGUAUGAAAUUGAAUAUAAAUAUUUCAAAUUAUGACUCGUUACUCAGUAGAAAGUUUUCUUAAAUCUAGUUUUUACCCGUUAUAAUAUUUUUGUAUGUAUUGAACAGUUUAUAUUUGUUUUUAAAAAUUCAAAUUAUGGCAUAUGGGAAAAAACUCUAAUUAUUUUUUUAUAAUGAUGAUAUUAUUUUUCCGCAAAAAUAGAAUCAUAUAAAGAUGAGAAGUGAACUAUAAUAAUUAAUAAAAAAAUUAAUAUGAUAAUUUAGAUAUCAAAUAUAAUUUGUUGAUUUUAAUUGGUUAAUUUUUUGGAAAUUAAUAAUGUAUUUCGUUUUUCUAAUUAAAUUAAAUUAAUUAAAAUUUAGAUAUCAAAUCUUAUAUGUUGAUUUUGAUUGGUUAUUAUUUUUGGAAAUUAAUAAUGUAUUUCGUUUUUUAAUUAAAUUUAAUUAAUUAAAAUUAGUAUUUGACUUUUUAAUCCUUAAAA
This 1078-nucleotide small RNA is filed under the name Arabidopsis thaliana (thale cress). RNAcentral's name for it is "ATSL025010". Lineage: Eukaryota; Viridiplantae; Streptophyta; Magnoliopsida; Brassicales; Brassicaceae. The record is from RNAcentral.